UGUCCUAUAGUAUAAUGGUAGUACAGAAGAUUCUGGUUCUUUUAGUCAGGGUUCGAAUCCUUGUGGGACAA
RNAcentral lists this transfer RNA (71 nucleotides) under Bacteroidales bacterium. Its description in RNAcentral is "tRNA-Gln". It matches the Rfam family "tRNA". Rfam says of the family: Transfer RNA (tRNA) molecules are approximately 80 nucleotides in length. Their secondary structure includes four short double-helical elements and three loops (D, anti-codon, and T loops). Further hydrogen bonds mediate the characteristic L-shaped molecular structure. tRNAs have two regions of fundamental functional importance: the anti-codon, which is responsible for specific mRNA codon recognition, and the 3' end, to which the tRNAs corresponding amino acid is attached (by aminoacyl-tRNA synthetases). tRNAs cope with the degeneracy of the genetic code in two manners: having more than one tRNA (with a specific anti-codon) for a particular amino acid; and 'wobble' base-pairing, i.e. permitting non-standard base-pairing at the 3rd anti-codon position. RNAcentral also lists the same sequence under 1 other name. Lineage: Bacteria; Pseudomonadati; Bacteroidota; Bacteroidia; Bacteroidales. The record is from RNAcentral.